This 295-nucleotide long non-coding RNA is filed under the name Gallus gallus (chicken). The record is from RNAcentral. Lineage: Eukaryota; Metazoa; Chordata; Aves; Galliformes; Phasianidae.
GGUAUGAUAUGUAGAGAUCGAUUCAGAUAAGCAACUAUGGGAUUGAAGAAUGCCUUUCUUAAAGUGAACCUGUGCAAUGUUUCGCUAGAGAAUGUAUGAAAAGGAAAUGCUGCAGACACCGUGCACGCAACCAAAGAUGCAAAGCUCACACAUGAAGGUAAGGUUGCUCUACUGCACCGAUGCCCGGCAAGAAGAGCCUCACUGGGUCUGUGUAGUUACCCCUGCAGAGAAGAAUGGUUAGAUCAAAAUCAGACCUUGUAUAACCACUGAAGAAUUGUUCUUUUCCUAAAUGUGU